This 237-nucleotide long non-coding RNA is filed under the name Mytilus galloprovincialis (Mediterranean mussel). Lineage: Eukaryota; Metazoa; Mollusca; Bivalvia; Mytilida; Mytilidae. The record is from RNAcentral.
AUGACAUCUGCCCGCUAGACAUGAACACCUUACCAUCAUUCCAUACAACAAAUAUAGUAGACCUAUUGCAUAUAGUAUGAGAAAAACAGACCAAAACUCAAAAAUUUAACUAUAACCACUGAACCAUGAAAAUGAGGUCAAGGUCAGAUGACACCUGCCAGUUGGACAUGUACACCUUAGUCCUUCCAUACACCGAAUAUACUAGCCCUAUUGCUUAUAGUAUCUGAGAUAUGGACU